Amphiprion ocellaris (clown anemonefish) is the source of this 963-nucleotide long non-coding RNA. RefSeq lists it as uncharacterized. The record is from RefSeq and is a predicted model, not a curated record. The transcript is spliced from 3 exons. Lineage: Eukaryota; Metazoa; Chordata; Actinopteri; Pomacentridae.
CCGUUGAUGUAGACGGCGUGAAAACGGAAACAACAAGUAUGCCGGCUCACUGUGCUGCAUACAAUUACACACUACGUCGUACGAUUGAGACAAGGAAACUUGGAAUGAUUUUUCAUAGGUUUCCCAGAGACUAUGGGUUGAGGAGGAAUUGGAAGUUUGUCGGCUUAGACCUGGUGUCAUUCCAUCAGUGUUAAACUUCCCGGCUCAUCUUGGAAGAGUACGUGCCAGAAAGACCACGACCAAGCAGCCUUGAGAUCUUAGACAGCGUCUCCCUCAGGUCCCUCUCUAUCUCCCCACACAUCCACCAACCACUGGAACACAUCUCCAAAGUUCUGCCGGGCCAGCUCAGCUUCCCCUCAGAAGAAGUGCCGCCACCUGCCAGAUGAAGGAGCCUUUUGAGAGGCAGCUGGCAUCGUGAUUGGACUGUACUUUGGUCUGUUCCAAUCCAACUUCAGCUCCAGAGACGGCAGGCGGGACGAGUCAACGGAGGCCGGGUGGACGAAGGCAUGCAGCUGAGUACAAUCCAGAAAACAACAGAGGAGGAGUGCAGCUGUCCAGGGCCAGAACAACCAGAGUAGCAUCAUAUGUCUCUUAGAAAACAUCAUAGUAUAGCCUUUGGUAUGAAAAAAUGCCAUCAUAUACAUCAUAUAUUGUACAAAUAACAAGUCAAAGCAAAGAGACAUACAUUGUAGAAUUGUAGUAAUUGUGGGCUGACUGAUUUACUGAUUAUCAGUAUUUUAUUUUUUACUGAUUUACGGUAAUAAAUACAUUUUUUUUUUUUUGUCGGCUUUGUUGGAUAGGCACAGUGAGAGAGAGACAGGAAACAGGGGAGAAGAGUCGGGGAAGACAUGCAGCAAAGGGCCGCGAGCGGGAAUCGAACCCGGGCCAGCUGCGUCGGGGACCAGCCCCUGUACAUGGGUCGCCCGCUCAACGCGUUGAGCUAUACGGGCGCCCGUAAUAAAU